RNAcentral lists this ribosomal RNA (435 nucleotides) under uncultured bacterium. Its description in RNAcentral is "partial 16S ribosomal RNA". It matches the Rfam family "Bacterial small subunit ribosomal RNA", at positions 29 to 506 of the family's 1533-position model. The record is from RNAcentral.
AGCGAACGCUGGCGGCAGGCUUAACACAUGCAAGUCGAGCGGGCAUCCUUGUGGUGUCAGCGGCAGACGGGUGAGUAACGCGUGGGAACGUGCCCUUCGGUUCGGAAUAACUCAGGGAAACUUGAGCUAAUACCGGAUACGCCCUUUUGGGGAAAGGUUUACUGCCGAAGGAUCGGCCCGCGUCUGAUUAGCUAGUUGGUGAGGUUAUGGCUCACCAAGGCGACGAUCAGUAGCUGGUCUGAGAGGAUGAUCAGCCACACUGGGACUGAGACACGGCCCAGACUCCUACGGGAGGCAGCAGUGGGGAAUAUUGGACAAUGGGGGCAACCCUGAUCCAGCCAUGCCGCGUGAGUGAUGACGGCCUUAGGGUUGUAAAGCUCUUUUCUCCGGGACGAUAAUGACGGUACCGGAGGAAUAAGCCCCGGCUAACUUCGU